CCCUUAGAUGUUCUGGGCCGCACGCGCGCUACACUGAUGCAAGCAACAAGUCUUCCUGCACCGAUAGGUGUGGGUAAUCUUUGGAAAUUGCAUCGUGAUGGGGCUUGACGAUUGUAAUUAUUUGUCACAAACGAGGAAUUCCUAGUAAGCGCAAGUCAUCAGCUUGCAUUGAUUACGUCCCUGCCCUUUGUACACACCGCCCGUCGCUUCUACCGAUUGAGUGCUCCGGUGAAUUUUCCGGAUUCGACUGUUUUCUGGUUUCCAGGGAUGGUCGGAGAAGUUAUGUAAACCUUAGCACUUAGAGGAAGAAAAAGUCGUAACA
RNAcentral lists this ribosomal RNA (322 nucleotides) under uncultured eukaryote. RNAcentral describes it as "partial 18S ribosomal RNA". It matches the Rfam family "Eukaryotic small subunit ribosomal RNA", at positions 1470 to 1796 of the family's 1831-position model. The record is from RNAcentral.